This 304-nucleotide small RNA is filed under the name Arabidopsis thaliana (thale cress). Its description in RNAcentral is "ATSL039270". Lineage: Eukaryota; Viridiplantae; Streptophyta; Magnoliopsida; Brassicales; Brassicaceae. The record is from RNAcentral.
AAGUCCUACUUUAGGCUUCCGGAAUCCGGUUGCGGUUCUAGUUUUUAUGCUCAAUGAUACACAAAGCAUCUAGUCAUAUUUGACUACAAAUUCGCUAACCUAGCUUAUUCUUGAUUCUCAAAGCUUUGAUAGUGAAGCCGAAUUCUUAUGAGUUUUUGGUUUUGAACAGUUUAAAAAGGUAGCACUACUUUACUUUCCGGGAUCUAGUUGAGGUUCUAGUUUUAUAUUCAAUCAUACACAUAACAUCUAGUCAUAUUUAACUCUGAAACGCUAACCUAGAUUCUUUUUGCUUCUUAAAGUAUUA